Molecule: ribosomal RNA, 497 nt
Filed under: uncultured bacterium
Lineage: Bacteria
Description: partial 16S ribosomal RNA
Rfam family: Bacterial small subunit ribosomal RNA
Source: RNAcentral
GACGAACGCUGGCGGCGUGCCUAAUACAUGCAAGUUGAGCGCUGAAGGUUGGUUCUUGUACCGACCGGAUGAGCAGCGAACGGGUGAGUAACGCGUGGGGAAUCCGCCUUUGAGCGGGGGACCACAUUUAGAAACGCAUGCUACUACCGCAUACAACCUUUAAACACAAGUUUUAAGUUUGAAAGAUGCAAUUGCAUCACUCAAAGAUGAUCCCGCGUUGUAUUAGCUAGUUGGUGAGGUAAAGGCUCACCAAGGCGAGGAUACAUAGCCGACCUGAGUCGGUGAGCGGCCACACUGGGAGUGUGACACGGCCCAAACUGCCACGGGAGGCAGCAGUAGGGAAUCUUCGGCAAUGGAUGAAAGACUGACCGAGCAACGCCGAGGGAGUGAAGAAGGUUGUCGGAUCGUAAAACUCUGUUGGUAGAGAAGAACGUUGGUGAGAGUGGAAAGCUCAUCAAGUGACGGUAACUACACAGAAAGGGACGGCUAACUACGUG